GACGAACGCUGGCGGCGUGCUUAACACAUGCAAGUCGAACGGAAAGGCCCUGCUUUUGUGGUGUGCUCGAGUGGCGAACGGGUGAGUAACACGUGAGUAACCUGCCCUUGACUUUGGGAUAACUUCAGGAAACUGGGGCUAAUACCGGAUAUGAGCUCCUGCUGCAUGGUGGGGGUUGGAAAGUUUCGGCGGUUGGGGAUGGACUCGCGGCUUAUCAGCUUGUUGGUGGGGUAGUGGCUUACCAAGGCUUUGACGGGUAGCCGGCCUGAGAGGGUGACCGGCCACAUUGGGACUGAGAUACGGCCCAGACUCCUACGGGAGGCAGCAGUGGGGAAUAUUGCACAAUGGGCGGAAGCCUGAUGCAGCAACGCCGCGUGCGGGAUGACGGCCUUCGGGUUGUAAACCGCUUUCGCCUGUGACGAAGCGUGAGUGACGGUAAUUGGUAAAGAAGCACCGGCUAACUACGUG
This 468-nucleotide ribosomal RNA is filed under the name uncultured bacterium. Its description in RNAcentral is "partial 16S ribosomal RNA". It matches the Rfam family "Bacterial small subunit ribosomal RNA", at positions 28 to 507 of the family's 1533-position model. The record is from RNAcentral.